RNAcentral lists this non-coding RNA (52 nucleotides) under Eutreptiella gymnastica. The record is from RNAcentral. Lineage: Eukaryota; Euglenozoa; Euglenophyceae; Eutreptiales; Eutreptiaceae.
GACCGCCCGGAAACAGAGCAGACAGAGUCGCCGCGGAAGCAAAUGGAAGGAC